Molecule: unclassified non-coding RNA, 158 nt
Filed under: uncultured Hypoxylon
Lineage: Eukaryota; Fungi; Ascomycota; Sordariomycetes; Xylariales; Xylariaceae
Description: sequence contains ITS2
Source: RNAcentral
CAACCCUUAAGCCUCUGUCGCUUAGCGUUGGGAGCCUACGUUUAUAACGUAGCUUCUGAAAGUUAGUGGCGGUGCUGGAGCACACUCUCAGCGUAGUAGUUUUCUUCUCGCUCCUGUAGUGGCCUCAGCAGCCUGCCGUAAAACCUUUAACUCUUAGU